CAAAGAGAGGAAGAGAGAAGCGUGUCACUUUUGCUCCUAAAAGCGCAGUAUAGAGAACUGCUUAUUAUCAAAUCAACAACACAUUACGCAUGAUGAAAACGCUUUAUGGAUUCCGAGAAUUCGAGAGAGCAAAGAGUAAGACCUACCGUUGUCAUGGGGACUUCAUCGUGAAUGUUAUGGCCCAUCAUAUGCUGUUCGGCCU
Nasonia vitripennis (jewel wasp) is the source of this 202-nucleotide long non-coding RNA. RefSeq lists it as uncharacterized. The record is from RefSeq and is a predicted model, not a curated record. NCBI's taxonomy places the organism in Eukaryota, Metazoa, Arthropoda, Insecta, Hymenoptera, Pteromalidae. The transcript is spliced from 2 exons.